UUCUAUGGCCAUGCCACCCUGAACAAAGCCCAAUCCCGUCUGAUCUCGGAAGCUAAGCAGGGUUGGGCCUGGUUAGUACUUGGAUGGGAGACCACCUAGGAAGACCAGACGUUUAAAAAA
RNAcentral lists this ribosomal RNA (120 nucleotides) under Pteropus alecto (black flying fox). The record is from RNAcentral. Lineage: Eukaryota; Metazoa; Chordata; Mammalia; Chiroptera; Pteropodidae.